CCCUUAGAUGUUCUGGGCCGCACGCGCGCUACACUGAUGCAUUCAACAAGCCUAGCCUUGACCGAGAGGUCCGGGUAAUCUUUGAAACUGCAUCGUGAUGGGGCUAGAUUAUUGCAAUUAUUAAUCUUCAACGAGGAAUGCCUAGUAAGCGUGAUUCAUCAAAUCGCGUUGAUUACGUCCCUGCCCUUUGAACACACCGCCCGUCGCUCCUACCGAUUGAAUGUGUUGGUGAGGAGCUCGGAUUGGCAGCAGUUGGUGGUUCGCCACCGGCUAUUGCUGAGAAGUCCUCCAAACCGCCCCAUUUAGAGGAAGGAGAAGUCGUAACA
RNAcentral lists this ribosomal RNA (326 nucleotides) under uncultured eukaryote. RNAcentral describes it as "partial 18S ribosomal RNA". It matches the Rfam family "Eukaryotic small subunit ribosomal RNA", at positions 1470 to 1796 of the family's 1831-position model. The record is from RNAcentral.